UAAUACGUAUGGUGCGAACGUUGUUCGGAAUCACUGGGCAUAAAGAGCACGUAGGCGGUUAAGCAAGUCCAUUGUGAAAUCCCCCGGCUUAACCGGGGAACCGCAGUGGAUACUACUUGACUUGAGUACAGGAGGGGAGAGUGGAAUUCCAGGUGGAGCGGUGAAAUGCGUAGAUAUCUGGAGGAACGCCGGUGGCGAAAGCGACUCUCUGGUCUGUAACUGACGCUGAGGUGCGAAAGCUAGGGGAGCAAACGGGAUUAGAUACCCCGGUAGUCCUAGCCCUAAACGAUGGGCACUAAGUAGAGGGAAUCCUAUAUUCUCUCUGCCGGAGUUAAUGCAUUAAGUGCCCCGCCUGGGGAGUAUGGUCGCAAGGCUA
This 376-nucleotide ribosomal RNA is filed under the name uncultured bacterium. RNAcentral's name for it is "bacterial SSU rRNA". It matches the Rfam family "Bacterial small subunit ribosomal RNA", at positions 521 to 896 of the family's 1533-position model. The record is from RNAcentral.